UACGUAGGGUGCAAGCGUUGUUCGGAAUUACUGGGCGUAAAGAGUGUGUAGGCGGUGUUCCAAGUCUGGUGUGAAAUCUCCCGGCUUAACUGGGAGGGUGCAUUAGAAACUGGAAUGCUAGAGGAUGGGAGAGGUAAGCGGAAUUCCUGGUGUAGCGGUGAAAUGCGUAGAUAUCAGGAGGAACACCGGUGGUGUAGACGGCUCUCUGGACCAUAACUGACGCUGAGACACGAAAGCGUGGGUAGCAAACAGG
This 253-nucleotide ribosomal RNA is filed under the name uncultured bacterium. RNAcentral describes it as "partial 16S ribosomal RNA". It matches the Rfam family "Bacterial small subunit ribosomal RNA", at positions 524 to 776 of the family's 1533-position model. The record is from RNAcentral.